AUUCAUAUAGUUUACAAAAACAUUUUAUUUUCGUUAAAAAAACGACUUAAAAUUAAGUCUAUGAAUU
Molecule: transfer RNA, 67 nt
Filed under: Aconurella diplachnis
Lineage: Eukaryota; Metazoa; Arthropoda; Insecta; Hemiptera; Cicadellidae
Description: tRNA-Glu
Source: RNAcentral